This 433-nucleotide ribosomal RNA is filed under the name uncultured bacterium. Its description in RNAcentral is "partial 16S ribosomal RNA". It matches the Rfam family "Bacterial small subunit ribosomal RNA", at positions 29 to 507 of the family's 1533-position model. The record is from RNAcentral.
AACGAACGCUGGCGGCAUGCCUAACACAUGCAAGUCGAACGAGACCUUCGGGUCUAGUGGCGCACGGGUGCGUAACGCGUGGGAACCUGCCCUUAGGUUCGGAAUAACUCCCCGAAAGGGGUGCUAUUACCGGAUAAUGUCUUCGGACCAAAGAUUUAUCGCCUUUGGAUGGGCCCGCGUUGGAUUAGCUAGUUGGUAGGGUAAAAGCCUACCAAGGCGACGAUCCAUAGCUGGUCUGAGAGGAUGAUCAGCCACACUGGGACUGAGACACGGCCCAGACUCCUACGGGAGGCAGCAGUGGGGAAUAUUGGACAAUGGGCGAAAGCCUGAUCCAGCAAUGCCGCGUGAGUGAUGAAGGCCUUAGGGUUGUAAAGCUCUUUUACACGGGAUGAUAAUGACAGUACCGGGAGAAUAAGCUCCGGCUAACUCCGUG